Molecule: ribosomal RNA, 301 nt
Filed under: uncultured bacterium
Lineage: Bacteria
Description: partial 16S ribosomal RNA
Rfam family: Bacterial small subunit ribosomal RNA
Source: RNAcentral
CAGCAGCCGCGGGAAGACGAACCGUGCGAACGUUAUUCGGAAUCACUGGGCUUAAAGCGCGUGUAGGCGGGCCGCCACGUCGGCUGCUGAAAUCCCCCGGCUCAACCGGGGAAGUGGCACCGAUACGAGCGGCCUCGAGGGGGGUAGGGGGGACUGGAACUUCCGGUGGAGCGGUGAAAUGCGUUGAGAUCGGAAGGAACGCCCGUGGCGAAAGCGAGUCCCUGGACCCUUUCUGACGCUGAGACGCGAAAGCCAGGGGAGCGAACGGGAUUAGAUACCCGUGUAGUCCCUGUCUCUUAUA